AUUCUGCUGAUUUCUAAUCCAACUUUGGAAAUUGCUAAGCUCUUUGCUACAGCAUUUCCCCUGUGGUAAGGAAUUCCAUAGAAUUACCCUAGAGUGAAAUUUGUGGUGAUUUGGAGACCCUGCCUCAGGAAAUGUAGAAACGUUGACAGAAAUGAAGAUAAUGUUUUUAAGGUCUUUAUGACACUGUGAAAGCAGCACUUUGAAAGAAAGGCAAAAAGACAAGAAAAAGCAAAGAGAAGCACCCAAAACUUACAUACUUUUUUCCAAUGCCUCUUGUCUCCGAAAGCAUACCAAGAGGUUCCAGAAGAGUCUCUGUGUAUCCACAGGGGCCACCCAUUUCUCAAAAUCAGGUUAUCAGUAGCUGCUGCCCAUUUCAGGUUACUGUAGCAUACCAAGGGGCAGCUCCUGUCCCUCAAAGAAGAAAAACAGGCAGUGGUGCAGCUAUCUUCCUUCCAAGAGAACAUAUGGAUACUUCUCAGGGGUGAAAUAGCAACUUAGAGGAGAGGUGAUUUCAACAGCAAGUGGGAAAGAUAAUCUCCAAACUGAAGCCCUGCAGCCCCAUCAACACCCACCCCCUGUAGCUGCUUGUAAAUUCUAAAAACCAUGGAAAAUCCAGCUUCUUGUUCUCUGACACAGCAUCUAAUUUGAGGUUUGCUUUAUUUUCAAGCCUUUUGAUGUAUGUUUUGGAUGCAUUUGGCCUUCUUGCAAAGACCUAUUUGACCUUUUAUAACUCAAUGUUGCUAUGUAUUUUCUGCUGUUUUGCAAGCUGACUAAAC
This is a long non-coding RNA of Rhineura floridana, 776 nucleotides long. RefSeq lists it as uncharacterized. The record is from RefSeq and is a predicted model, not a curated record. Lineage: Eukaryota; Metazoa; Chordata; Lepidosauria; Squamata; Rhineuridae. The transcript is spliced from 4 exons.